This 253-nucleotide ribosomal RNA is filed under the name uncultured bacterium. RNAcentral describes it as "partial 16S ribosomal RNA". It matches the Rfam family "Bacterial small subunit ribosomal RNA", at positions 524 to 776 of the family's 1533-position model. The record is from RNAcentral.
GACAGAGGGUGCGAACGUUGUUCGGAAUUACUGGGCGUAAAUCGCAUGUAGGCGGCAGCGCAAGUCGGGCGUGAAAUCCCACGGCUCAACCGUGGAAGUGCACUCGAAACUGCGCAGCUAGAGUCCUGGAGAGGAAGGUGGAAUGCUUGGUGUAGAGGUGAAAUUCGUAGAUAUCAAGCGGAACACCGGUGGCGAAGGCGGCCUUCUGGACAGUGACUGACGCUGAGAUGCGAAAGCGUGGGGAGCAAACAGG